AAUAACUUUGGUCUAAGAGGGAAAGUUGAAAUGAUCGACUUUUGAAAACCAAGUCGGGCCUUAACUCUACUAAGAAGAGCAAGGCCGGAUUUUAUAGAUGGAGCCCGAGCUGGGAGAAAUAGAGUCGUUGAAGCUUGAGAAGCGCUCAAUCAAGCAACAAGAGGUGUCUGAAAUGAGGGGGAGUGCUUUAUUUAUAGAUGGAGCCCGAGCUGGUCAGUACCGAGCAUGUCAGCGUCGUACUGACCAUGUUAGCGCCGGUACUAGUGAUGGUUGCUUGGCAGCGCUUAAUAUCGGUGGGCAGGUGAUCGGUACUGUCGCUGGACAGGUCGGUGCCGAUUAGGGCAAAUUAUUGCCCUGAGCUUUUAGCUUGAUUUUUGGAUUUUCGAGCUUUCGGGAGUCCGUUUGAGGCCCAAACGAUGUUUGAUCGAGUUGAUUGUCUCACCGUUGGAACCGUAGUGGAACUUCCUAGAGCCUGGUGCUAAAAUCAUAGUCAACAGUUUGUCCCUUCCUCAAGAUUGGAGCUAAUCUUGGUUCGAACUUUCGAACCCCAAUUUCAGCACUUCUGGUUAGUAUUUUGGUCUGAAAAUCAUACCUUGCAUAUUGUGGCGAUGUCUUGGAACAUCUUGUGAAAAUCUCGUCUGAUUUUGAUAAUAUUUUUUCAGAAUCAGUUUGAUUCGGCUAAUUUUUUGGGUCUUUUGUAAAAGCUCGUCACAUAGGAGGAUAAAACUUUGUUUGGAAAUCUGUCAUGGUCGAGUAGGUUGAAACCGUGCGAGAUUCUGAGUCCGGAUGAUUCCCAAAAAGUUUGAUCUUUCAGGGGAGGGGGAGGCUUGUCCUCAAGGGGGGGGUGUGGAGCCUCAGUUGCUCAUGCCACUCUCUUCUCCCUUUCUUGCUUUCUUACUUUACUUUGAGAAACCACUUUCUUGCCAAAACUCUUGUGAAAUGAACCGUCAUCACCAAUGACGUCCUAUUCCCCGCUCAACGAGUUUGAGCAAAGUGGGGACACUUCUCCAAUUUAGGGCCCAUCUAGCGUAGUGAGCAAGAUCAAGUCCCUCCUCUACCUUCAGUGUCGAGGUCCAGCCAGAGGGCUGCACUCCUCUUGUGCCGGAUCUAUUAUCCGAGAGCAUGCAGCGCAUCCGAUUCAUUGCACCGCAUGGCACUAUCAUUUAUCCUAUUUCAAAGGAUAUUUUGAAUCACUAGCCCGAGUAUCCCAAGGCCUCCUCUUGGUUGAUGUGAGGGGGUGAUCGUCCAGUUUGGUCAGCUCCGAGGGACACUGUAUGAGAUUCUGACCCGAGUGAGCUCUCUGAGGAGCCAGGUCAAAGCGCUGCGAUAGGAGCUCUGACGCCCUUGAUGCCUCCGGCUGCUGCUCUUUAUUUUUUCUGGUUUUAGAAUAGGCCUUUAGUUUUAGGCUCUUGGUAGUCUAUGUACCAAUUUUGAAGCAUUCUUUUGGGUUAAUUCACCUUUAGUUGUGGAAUCUUAUUUUGCAAAAACUUGGCCAUUUUAUUUAUCAAGCUAUUGAAUUUUAUUUUCGCA
This is a long non-coding RNA of Jatropha curcas, 1530 nucleotides long. RefSeq lists it as uncharacterized. The record is from RefSeq and is a predicted model, not a curated record. NCBI's taxonomy places the organism in Eukaryota, Viridiplantae, Streptophyta, Magnoliopsida, Malpighiales, Euphorbiaceae.